Molecule: long non-coding RNA, 202 nt
Organism: Suricata suricatta (meerkat)
Lineage: Eukaryota; Metazoa; Chordata; Mammalia; Carnivora; Herpestidae
Exons: 2
Source: RefSeq, a predicted model, not a curated record
CACUGGAGUGCCUGAGUACGGUGCAUUCUGAGAAUGGGUUCCAGGUGUGCCAGGAUACUGAAAGUUACAAAGAUUUGUGUGACUGGCUGAGAAGAAAUCAAGAAGAGGAAAAUCAAGAAAAGAGAAUUUUUAGAGUAGCAGUAUCAACUGAACUACUAAACACUAUCUGAUGCUCUAGAUAAAAGUAGUUGGUAUCAACAUA